RNAcentral lists this ribosomal RNA (433 nucleotides) under uncultured bacterium. RNAcentral describes it as "partial 16S ribosomal RNA". It matches the Rfam family "Bacterial small subunit ribosomal RNA", at positions 29 to 507 of the family's 1533-position model. The record is from RNAcentral.
AACGAACGCUGGCGGCAUGCCUAACACAUGCAAGUCGAACGAGACCUUCGGGUCUAGUGGCGCACGGGUGCGUAACGCGUGGGAACCUGCACUUAGGUUCGGAAUACCUCCCCGACAGGGGUGCUAAUACCGGAUAAUGUCUUCGGACCAAAGAUUUAUCGCCUUUGGAUGGGCCCGCGUUGGAUUAGCUAGUUGGUAGGGUAAAAGCCUACCACGGCGACGAUCCAUAGCUGGUCUGAGAGGAUGAUCAGCCACACUGGGACUGAGACACGGCCCAGACUCCUACGGGAGGCAGCAGUGGGUAAUAUUGGACAAUGGGGGAAAGGCUGAUCCAGCAAUGCCGCGUGAGUUAUGAAGGCCGUAGGGUUGUAAAGCUCUUUUACCCGGGAUGAUAAUGACAGUACCGGGAGAAUAAGCUCCGGCUAACUCCGUG